GACGAACGCUGGCGGCGUGCCUAAUACAUGCAAGUAGAACGCUGAAGAGAGGAGCUUGCUCUUCUUGGAUGAGUUGCGAACGGGUGAGUAACGCGUAGGUAACCUGCCUUGUAGCGGGGGAUAACUAUUGGAAACGAUAGCUAAUACCGCAUAACAAUGGAUGACACAUGUCAUUUAUUUGAAAGGGGCAAUUGCUCCACUACAAGAUGGACCUGCGUUGUAUUAGCUAGUAGGUGAGGUAAUGGCUCACCUAGGCGACGAUACAUAGCCGACCUGAGAGGGUGAUCGGCCACACUGGGACUGAGACACGGCCCAGACUCCUACGGGAGGCAGCAGUAGGGAAUCUUCGGCAAUGGGGGCAACCCUGACCGAGCAACGCCGCGUGAGUGAAGAAGGUUUUCGGAUCGUAAAGCUCUGUUGUAAGUCAAGAACGGGUGUGAGAGUGGAAAGUUCACACUGUGACGGUAGCUUACCAGAAAGGGACGGCUAACUACAUG
RNAcentral lists this ribosomal RNA (497 nucleotides) under uncultured bacterium. RNAcentral's name for it is "partial 16S ribosomal RNA". It matches the Rfam family "Bacterial small subunit ribosomal RNA", at positions 28 to 507 of the family's 1533-position model. The record is from RNAcentral.